This 429-nucleotide ribosomal RNA is filed under the name uncultured bacterium. RNAcentral describes it as "bacterial SSU rRNA". It matches the Rfam family "Bacterial small subunit ribosomal RNA", at positions 32 to 507 of the family's 1533-position model. The record is from RNAcentral.
GACGCUGGCGGCAUGCCUAACACAUGCAAGUCGAACGAGACCUUCGGGUCUAGUGGCGCACGGGUGCGUAACGCGUGGGAACCUGCCUUUAGGUUCGGAAUAACUCAGAGAAAUUUGAGCUAAUACCGGAUAAUGUCUUCGGACCAAAGAUUUAUCGCCUUUAGAUGGGCCCGCGUUGGAUUAGCUAGUUGGUGGGGUAAAGGCCUACCAAGGCGACGAUCCAUAGCUGGUCUGAGAGGAUGAUCAGCCACACUGGGACUGAGACACGGCCCAGACUCCUACGGGAGGCAGCAGUGGGGAAUAUUGGACAAUGGGCGAAAGCCUGAUCCAGCAAUGCCGCGUGAGUGAUGAAGGCCUUAGGGUUGUAAAGCUCCUUUACCCGAGAUGAUAAUGACAGUAUCGGGAGAAUAAGCUCCGGCUAACUCCGUG